This 3761-nucleotide long non-coding RNA is filed under the name Sus scrofa (pig). RNAcentral's name for it is "lncRNA (ENSSSCG00030069929.1)". The record is from RNAcentral. Lineage: Eukaryota; Metazoa; Chordata; Mammalia; Artiodactyla; Suidae.
AAAAAAAAAAAAAAAAGUUCCCGGGCCAGAGAUCAAACCCAAGCCACAGCAGCGACAAUGCAAGAUCCUUAACUGCUAGGCCACCAGGGAACUCCUAAUAACUUAUGUUUUAGAAAUACAAAGUCAGGGAGAAACUUCAGGCAGAGUAUUGCAAGGAACGUUUAUGGGCGCCUGUUCUGUGCCAAGCAUGGUGCCAACUGCAUUUACGUUUAUUUUUUCAUUUAAUCUUUGUACCAUCUCUUCAGAGGUAUAAUUGCAGGUAUAAUUACCACCAUUUUGCAGAUGAGGGAAAUGAGGUGUCAGAGAGGUUGAGCAACUUGCCCAAGGUCACACAGCUAGUGAGUGGUCUUGGUCUGACUUCAAAGCCGGUGUACUUUUUCUUAUUGCCCUUAUUACGCAGUAACAGCAUUUAUUGCUAAAAGGGAAUGUUACUGGAUUGAAGAAAAUGCAUGUACUCUGUCAUUUUUUUUUUUUUUUUUUUUUCUGAAAGAGCUUUCUUUGCCAUUGUUCUCAUGUCUUAUAUUUCCAUUAAGGCUUUUCCCCUAUAUGCUUUUAUUUCAGAGGUUGGUACAAGACUAUGCUUCGUCCAGGCUGCCCUGCAAAUUACAAUUCCAGCUUUACCUUGGCCUCUCCUGGGAGAAGACCGAGACAAAGCCUUCUGUGGCUCUAAUUAGGCUGUAAUUUGGCCUCCGAGCCGUGGAGGUCGGGAUAUGCAGCUUUAGCAGAGAUCUGCGUCCUGUCUCUGGGAACAGUGGCUUUGUUAACAUGCUUCUCUGGUGUGUCAUCCGUCUCACUGUUUCUCGUAUGGGGUUUUCAGAUGCUGCUCACUGGUUCUUUGGGGAUAGUUGUUUUUUUAAAGCGUUUUUCGCAGUCUUCAAGGUUUGAUUCUUUAAGGAUGCAUUUCCUAGUGUUUAACUUUAUUGGUCUUUGGCACUUAUUUGGACAAUGUAGGAGGCCGAGUUAGAACUGAAUUGCUGUUUAGAUGAGACAAAGGCGCAUUUAUGAUUGACUAAGAUACUCACACGGAUUGUUUAAUUAUCUUCCAGAACAUACGUGUGCAAUUGUAGUCCUUCGGAUGUAUUUUGGGAAAGGGAACUGACUACUUAAAGGAUAAAAUUUGAAAGAGGUGAAAUGGAGAUUUUCAUGGGGUUUGAAUCUCUGGGUCAAAAUCAGGUCUAUACCUUCAAAACAACUUUUAUGUUGUCUUUAAAAACAAGGUUACUAGGAAUUGUCUGUAUUCAAUGUGUGUGCUUGGAUCCUUAACCAAUUCAAAGGACCUGAGAUGAUUGAGAAACCAAUGCUGUCUUACAUACUGCGUUUAUCUUGAGGUGAUUCAGAAAUUAAAAGUGAAAACAGAACAACUGUGAUUCAGGACAUUUUUGUAAGGAGGGAAAAUACAAGGAAGGAAAAAAAAGUAAAAUUCCCCUCUUUGGAACUUACGUGGUCUGCAGAAAAAUAGUUUACUCAGCACGGUGUCUCCAAAAUACAUGCGUAUAUAUGUAUUUCAGUCAUUUUUCUUUAGCCAAGUAUCUGUCACCUCACUGGUGCUUUAAUUCCUCACAUCUAAUUGGUGAUCAGAACCCUGAAUUCUGUUAAAUGAAGCUUUUAAUCUGUCCCUUCUUGUCCAACCCAGCUGCCCUGCUGCUACUUUGACUUCUCGCCUUUUUUGUUGUUGUCUUUUGUUUUCUGGCCGCCCCCCCACGGCCUGCGGAAGUUCCAGGGUUCAACCUGUGCCACAGCAGUGACAAUGCCGCAUCUUUAACCCAAUGAACCACCAGGGAACUCUGACCCCCCCCCAAAUCUUCCGUCCGCCAACCUGCCUUUUACACAGCUGGCACAGCCAUGGCUCCUUCCUAAACAUACCUGGUCAAGUCAUUCUGCCACUUAAAAUCCUUCUGUCUGUAUUUCACAGAGGAAAAAAAAAAAAAAAAAAAAAAACCAGUAGGACAAAGACACAAAAUAAAGAUGGGGACAAGACAAAACACAGAACCUCCCUUCUGAUCCUGGCCUUCCUGCCUCCUCAUCGCUGGUAUUCCAGCCUCAGGGACAAGCCAAUUACUCUUGGGCUAGUCCUUUUGAUCCCAGGGUGCUGUUGGCCUAGAAUGUUCUUCACCAUCCCCUCCCCUUCCUGAGUCUCAGAGUAGGUUUUUGCAUCAUCACCUCCUUGAUAAUCUCUUCCCUCCCUCCUCUGCUUCUAUUUCACCCCAAGCCCAGUGCGUGUUCACUCUUGACCUAGGUUGCAUACGUUUUAAUUAUUCCAUUUGUAUCUAAUGCUUGUCUUUUAAUAGCGAUGAGACAGGUGGUUGAGACCUUGGGCUCUGAAAGCCUGGAUGCCGAGUCUGGCUUUGCUAUUCUAGCUGGGUUCCUGGGCGAGUCCCUUAAGCUUCCGUCUGAGCAUCUGUAAAAUGGGGGGAUAACAAGAGCAUCCACUUCCGGGGCCUGGAGUGAAGAUUCAGGGACUCAACUCGAUGCCUGUAAACUCUGGUAACACUCCCUGGCUGUGACAAGCUAAUUGUCACAUAGCUCAUUUUGUGAGGAGGCCAUUAUGUAAACGGCAGAGAUCUUAUUAGAGAAAGUACUUUAUUUUAAAAUUAUUCAUUUAAUGAGGUUAAUUAAAUGCUAAUAAAUAAAUAAACAAACAUUGCUGUAUUCAUUUGUAAGAUAAAGAAUCAGACCAUGUUAGAAUCAGUCACAACAAAUUGCUCUUUGUUGGCAUAGAGCUCUUACUCAGGAAAAGGAAAAAAAUCUUUUUUUUUUUUUCUUUUUAGGGCUGCACCCGAGACAUGCAGAAGAUCCCCAGGCUGGGGUUGAAUCGAAGCUGCAGCUCCUGGCCUGCCCACAGCCACAUGGGAUCCAGGCUAUGUCUGCAGCCUACACCAUGGCUCAUGGCAACGCCAGAUCCUUAAUCCACUGAGCAAGACCCGGGAUCGAACCUGAGUCCUCAAGGAUACCAGUUAUAUCCUUAAUCCGCUGAGCCACAACAGGAACUCCAGGAAAAUGUUUUGAAAUAAAGGAAUUGUCUACUUGGGCAGACAAGUUUAAUGCGGUUCUUGAACUUGAGUAAUUUUCUAGUCGGAACCUUGACUGAUUGAUGGAUUAUCUACGAAAUUAUUGAACUCAUUUACUCGGUUUCUGAAGAAUCCAGCGCACAGAUUAAAUUACGUUGCUGUCCAGGGCACAACCAGAAGUGAGAGGAUUUUGAACAUCCAAAAUGUUUCCUGUCUACAUAUAUUAAACACAAGAGGAGAAGGAGAUAUUCUUAUUACACGUAUUAAGUGAGAUUAAGAGAGAUCCUGAGACGUUAAACUCCAGAACCAAAAGACUGACUUUUAAAAAGAACAGGAAUACCAACAAUUGCAACCAAAGAAACCCCGUUGGGGACUUUGUAUUUUCCAUUACUGGGUAGGAGUGCGUAGGGUUUAAUUUGUGAGAGAGAGAGACGCGUGGUGAUUCGAGAUAUCUGAGCUAUAUUAUUUGUGAACCAACACCCAACUGCAUGGUGAUAUAUUUUGAAAAACAAUCAGAACUGUUAAUUUAAUGUUUUCACUAGAACGAUGUAUGAUUUAGAAAGACGACUACAGGAGACCCCCCUGUGACCAAUGGGAUCAGGGGCGAAUCUGUAGCACCAGGACGCAGGGGUCUAUCCUGGCCCCUGGCACAGUGGGUUAAAGGAUCCGGUGUUGCCGUAGCUGCGGCUGUAGGUUGAAACUGUGGCUCAGAUCUGAUCCCUGGCCUGGGAACUCCAUGUGCCAUAGGGCGGC